RNAcentral lists this ribosomal RNA (581 nucleotides) under uncultured bacterium. RNAcentral's name for it is "partial 16S ribosomal RNA". It matches the Rfam family "Bacterial small subunit ribosomal RNA", at positions 355 to 935 of the family's 1533-position model. The record is from RNAcentral.
UGGGGAAUUUUGGACAAUGGGCGAAAGCCUGAUCCAGCAAUGCCGCGUGUGUGAAGAAGGCCUUCGGGUUGUAAAGCACUUUUGUCCGGAAAGAAAUCCUUGGCUCUAAUACAGUCGGGGGAUGACGGUACCGGAAGAAUAAGCACCGGCUAACUACGUGCCAGCAGCCGCGGUAAUACGUAGGGUGCAAGCGUUAAUCGGAAUUACUGGGCGUAAAGCGUGCGCAGGCGGUUUGCUAAGACCGAUGUGAAAUCCCCGGGCUCAACCUGGGAACUGCAUUGGUGACUGGCAGGCUAGAGUAUGGCAGAGGGGGGUAGAAUUCCACGUGUAGCAGUGAAAUGCGUAGAGAUGUGGAGGAAUACCGAUGGCGAAGGCAGCCCCCUGGGCCAAUACUGACGCUCAUGCACGAAAGCGUGGGGAGCAAACAGGAUUAGAUACCCUGGUAGUCCACGCCCUAAACGAUGUCAACUAGUUGUUGGGGAUUCAUUUCCUUAGUAACGUAGCUAACGCGUGAAGUUGACCGCCUGGGGAGUACGGUCGCAAGAUUAAACUCAAAGGAAUUGACGGGGUCAUAGCUGUUU